GAUGAACGCUGGCGGCGUGCCUAAUACAUGCAAGUCGAGCGAACAGACGAGGAGCUUGCUCCUUCGACGUUAGCGGCGGACGGGUGAGUAACACGUAGGUAACCUACCUAUAAGACUGGGAUAACUUCGGGAAACCGGAGCUAAUACCGGAUAAUAUUUCGAACCGCAUGGUUCGAUAGUGAAAGAUGGCUUUGCUAUCACUUAUAGAUGGACCUGCGCCGUAUUAGCUAGUUGGUAAGGUAACGGCUUACCAAGGCAACGAUACGUAGCCGACCUGAGAGGGUGCUCGGCCACACUGGAACUGAGACACGGUCCAGACUCCUAAGGGAGGCAGCAGUAGGGAAUCGUCCGCAAUGGGCGAAAGCCUGACGGAGCAACGCCGCGUGAGUGAUGAAGGUCUUCGGAUCGUAAAACUCUGUUAUUAGGGAAGAACAAACGUGUAAGUAACUGUGCACGUCUUGACGGUACCUAAUCAGAAAGCCACGGCUAACUACGUG
This 497-nucleotide ribosomal RNA is filed under the name uncultured bacterium. RNAcentral's name for it is "partial 16S ribosomal RNA". It matches the Rfam family "Bacterial small subunit ribosomal RNA", at positions 28 to 507 of the family's 1533-position model. The record is from RNAcentral.